AGCCCCCACACUGGGCAAAGAGACACCUUGGUGGUGGUGGUGGUGGUGUUAUAUCACUCAGGGGCAAAACAGAUGACAAUUCUUUGUUCAUCCUAGCUUGAUGCCUGGCUUGAUGGCCAAAGCUCUUUCAUGCCUAGAAUGCAGAA
Molecule: small nucleolar RNA, 146 nt
Organism: Acomys russatus (golden spiny mouse)
Lineage: Eukaryota; Metazoa; Chordata; Mammalia; Rodentia; Muridae
Product: small nucleolar RNA SNORA48
Exons: 1
Source: RefSeq, a predicted model, not a curated record